UACGUAGGGUGCAAGCGUUGUCCGGAAUUAUUGGGCGUAAAGAGCUCGUAGGCGGUCUGUCGCGUCGAAUGUGAAAAAUCCGGGGCUCAACCCCCGGACCUGCAUUCGAUACGGGCAGACUAGAGUUCGGUAGGGGAGUCUGGAAUUCCUGGUGUAGCGGUGAAAUGCGCAGAUAUCAGGAGGAACACCGGUGGCGAAGGCGG
This 203-nucleotide ribosomal RNA is filed under the name uncultured bacterium. RNAcentral's name for it is "partial 16S ribosomal RNA". It matches the Rfam family "Bacterial small subunit ribosomal RNA", at positions 524 to 724 of the family's 1533-position model. The record is from RNAcentral.